This 955-nucleotide long non-coding RNA is filed under the name Homo sapiens (human). RNAcentral describes it as "HSALNT0246407". Lineage: Eukaryota; Metazoa; Chordata; Mammalia; Primates; Hominidae. The record is from RNAcentral.
GGUGGGGGGAGUCAAGUCACAUUCACUGUCACCGUCUGCACUAAAGGCCUGGGUGCCGUGCUGACAGUGGUGGGAAAAGCCUUGUUCCCAAGAGACUUGGAAAUAACUAGAUGCAUUUGAGAAGGGUUGAUCUUGGGUGCGUGAGGACCCCUGUGGCAGCCAGAGGGGGUUCAGCAGAACAAGGGCCCUUGACACAGCAGGGGUGAACCACACAGAGCAGCGGAGGCCACAGGGAGACGGAAGGGCCUCUGUGCCACAGAAUGGACUUGAGGCCUGAGCUGCCAUCAGGGCCAGGCCCUCCCCAGCCCCAAGGCAGGCUCUGGAGAACCAGGGAAGGCGUGGGCUCACCGUCUGGCCCUUCCCAAAGCCCUAGGAAGCCACGUAGGUGUGCCCAGGGGCACCCAGAGAGCCCGGAGCAGCCUGGAGAAUGAGCCACCAGAGGCCAACUUGGUCAAGAGCUGAGCUGAGGCUCAGGUGCAGGAGAAGAAACUCACAGGGUGGCCAGAAAGCUGGGGACCAGCUCCGUCCUCUUUGUGCUCAGAGUUCUCAUGCCCCCAGGCUGAGACGGGAGUGAGGGACCCAAGAGGCGCGUUCCUCACGCUGUGCCCGGCAAACUGUGUGUCCACAUGGUUUCCCUGCGGCCCAGUCAGCCCAACGCAGAAAGAGAAAUCCCGGCCAGGCUCGGCAAAACAGGUCAGGCGAGAAGGCGGGGCAGAGAGUGGUGGAGGCCAAGAGCGUUUUUACACACCAGUUACUGGGUUGACCUCAGAUUAGCAUCAGGUAGAAGAAUCCGGGGUCACAGGGAGUCACGCCUGGGGCAGCCGCCUUGACACAUCCAGCUCCGUGCCUCUGACCUAGGACUGGCUGGGCUGGGGCUGUCCGCUGCCCUGGGGUCCUGGGCUCAUGGCCAGUUCCCUGCCACCAUCACUGAGGAGGGCUCCGCAGGAAAAGGACC